GCACUGCUGAGGAGUCCCACAAUAAGAUGAAACGAUCGUUCAGUAC
Molecule: non-coding RNA, 46 nt
Filed under: Schistosoma mattheei
Lineage: Eukaryota; Metazoa; Platyhelminthes; Trematoda; Strigeidida; Schistosomatidae
Source: RNAcentral